RNAcentral lists this ribosomal RNA (419 nucleotides) under uncultured bacterium. RNAcentral's name for it is "bacterial SSU rRNA". It matches the Rfam family "Bacterial small subunit ribosomal RNA", at positions 355 to 788 of the family's 1533-position model. The record is from RNAcentral.
UCAAGAAACUUCCACAAUGGGCGAAAGCCUGAUGGAGCGACGUCGCGUGAUGGACGAAGUGCUUCGGCACGUAAACAUCUUUUAUGUGGGAUGAAAUUAUUGACAGUACCACAUGAAUAAGGGGCUCCUAACUCUGUGCCAGCAGGAGCGGUAAUACAGAGGCCCCAAGCGUUAUCCGGAAUCACUGGGCGUAAAGGGUGUCGAGGCGGUUGUAUUAGUCGUUCGUAAAAUCUACGAGCUUAACUUGUAGGCGGCGAACGAAACGGUACGACUUGAGGUUUGGAGAGGUGCGUGGAACUCACGGUGUAGGGGUGAAAUCCGUUGAUAUCGUGGGGAACACCAAAGGCGAAGGCAGCGCACUGGCCAAAAUCUGACGCUCACACACGAAAGCUAGGGUAGCGAAGAGGAUUAGAUACCCA